RNAcentral lists this unclassified non-coding RNA (2426 nucleotides) under Rhagoletis pomonella (apple maggot). RNAcentral's name for it is "protein THEM6, transcript variant X2". Lineage: Eukaryota; Metazoa; Arthropoda; Insecta; Diptera; Tephritidae. The record is from RNAcentral.
GCACCUUGCCGUUGGUGUGGAGGCUUAACUGAAUCACCAAUCAGUCCUUCCCUGGCCUGGGGUAACGCAGCCGCUUUGCAGCCGCUUUUGCAGCUUCUGCGCUACCCCUUUUCCAGCUUAGGGCUGCUGGCGAACAGCGACCAAGGACUGCCAACCCCCUAAUCCAGGGUGUUACGCGUUACCGUGCCUAUUGGACGAUUUGCAGCCAGGGGGGUCUAAUUUCCGCUGUAUUAUAACGGAGCCUUCCUGAAACCGGGCCGCCUCAGGGAGUAACGGUGGCCUUACCGUGGCAAGGGGCGCUACUGCGGUGGACUAUAUAUUUCCCCACAUAAUUUUUUGACCACUGGGCCCGCCUCGUCGGGCAGGUGGUCGUACGAUCAAGAUGAAUACAAAUAAAAACAAAAACAUAAAUGACGAAAAUAAUGAAGAUGAAUGGAAGUUGCUCGUUAAAGCUCUUAGGAGAAGAGAGGGUUACGACUCCAACAGUGAUGAGAGCUCGGCAGGAGAGAGGGAGCUUUCAGCAAGCCCUAGCAAAGAAGCGGAGAGAGCAGAGGCCAAAAAGGCGCGGAAAAGAGAGCGGAAGAAAGCUCUAUCGCAAUAUAAAGCGGCACUGCGCAUAAUCCAGCGCUUUGGAGCCGUGGUUUACCCGACAAACCGUGAGAAGGAGCGCUUAGCGUGGGAAAGAGAGACGGUUAGGUCAGAACGUGCACAGUUCGAUAGAGAACAUUAUGCUACAGCAAAUCGGAGAUACCCUAACAGUAUAGAGGAGAAGCACGCUAAAAAUGAUAGGCCGGAUAUCAAGCGGCAGAAAAGAUUUACAUACGACGAUAAACCGCUUCACAAGGCAGUAAGGCGGGAGAGCCGCGACGACAAUGAUCCGUCGACUUCGAAGGCGGCUUUGUUAAAGAGCAGCGCGCAAGCUAAGAACGGCGAAGAUAUAGAUGGGAUCCCAGAUUAUGUAGGAUUAAGUGAGGUAGCCGAGCAGCACCUGACUGUCGCGCUGCUUGAUCAUAGUGAUCCCUAUGGCAAGAUGACCACUAAAAAGUGGAAUUCUGUAGAGGGUGAGCUAUUGAGUCUAAUGAUCAGGCAAAUGCAUGAAGAGCCGGACAAACCUAUGCCUACAUUUGACGGUGAAGGCUGGUUUUACGGGGUCAAGCUCCUUAAAUGCAAGGACAGCGCAGCACUGGAAUGGCUAAAGCAAGCAGUUCCAAACCUACAAAGGCAAGGGGACAAUGCACACUUAGAAGUGGUGGACAGAGUUCUGAUCCCCACAAUUCCGAAGGCGAAGGUAUGGAUCCCCUACGUGGUGAAGUCGGAUUACGCCCUGCGCUUGUUACAGGCACAAAAUCCGAAUAUACCAACACGGGAUUGGAAGGUACUUCACGUAUCUAAGACGACGGAUGAGGGCCAGAGCUACAUACUCCAAAUCAACAAAGAGGCUGAAGACUUGUUGUACCCAGAGUAUGGCAAAAUGUCGUGGGGUAUGGGAAGCGUAUAUUUGCGUCUGGAAAAGCGUAACCUAAAAGACGAUAACACAAAUACGCUAGAAGUAGGAGAAAUCGAGAAAGAUCUAGGUUUCGAUAACGUGACUGGCCUGAAAAUAGUGGACGAGGCAGCUAAGGAUGGUGAUGAGGUACUAGAAGUGCAGAAUGAGAUGAAGGACGAGCGACACGCUGAUGCUGUGGGUCCUUCAAGUAAAUCUUCAAUACAAUAAAUUGGCUUCGAACGAGCUCCUCAUAACGGUGGAUGAGGAGUUGUUCGACGUGGGCUUGGGCCAAGAGCUUCGACUUGCGGCUGGAGGGGGGAUAUCCGCACUUAAUUCAGCGAAGUUCUGCUCAUACUACAUGAAGUUAGAAGGCAGGCACAGAGGACUUGGUGGAAGUGGCUACCGAACGGGAGAAAUGGUUGAAGACUUUAAGCGCAGACGACAACAAAUAGUAGGGUGGACUAAAACGCCCAUCGUACCAUCUAGGGCUUUCGCGAAAUUAACGAAUGGGGUCUCUGCCUCACCAAUGACAUCGAUUGGCUGCUUUAUCACAUGAACAAUGCGCGUUACUUACGUGAGCUGGAUUUCGCGCGUGUUGACUUCUAUGAGCGCACAGAUUUGUAUCGCACCAUAAAAGCGAAAGGUGGUUCUGUCUUUCAGGGAGCAGCUACCAUACGUUAUCGGCGAUUUAUCAGACCUUAUCACCGCUUUCAAAUACAAUCGCGUAUCGUCUACUGGGACGAUCAAUCUGUCUAUAUGGAACAUCGUUUCGUACGUCUCUCCGAUCAAUUCGUUCACGCCAUUGCAAUUUGCCGGCAACGCAUACUCGAUUGCUCCACCGAGGAGGUGAUGAGCGACUUAUUGGCGCCUAAGGGUAUGCAGGCACAAGCAACUCACAAUAUUGUUAGCUCAACUUCUAGUCUGGACAAUAGUGCAGUGA